This is a long non-coding RNA of Xiphophorus maculatus (southern platyfish), 1263 nucleotides long. RefSeq lists it as uncharacterized. The record is from RefSeq and is a predicted model, not a curated record. NCBI's taxonomy places the organism in Eukaryota, Metazoa, Chordata, Actinopteri, Cyprinodontiformes, Poeciliidae. The transcript is spliced from 3 exons.
UGAAUGAGCCCACCAGGAGAUCCGUCUAAAUCCCCGGAUUAGAUGUGACAUUUAGGAGUCCCUCUCUAGUCAUUCCUGCAGGAAAUUACGGGCAGGCGAUGGUAAAACAUAUUUAGAGUUGUAUACAUUUUAGACAAGAUGUACGCAAUCGCGACCUUAUCUGAUUAUCCGGUCUCUUCCAAUCCCGUUCUCCCUCUGUAGCAGGAAGAGUCAUUACAUGAAGGUCAAAGUGGGUACGCAGAAGAUGAAGGUUCAGCACUCCGAGAGCAACGCGUGGAUCAUAAUUGGUUUUUGUUAAAGAGUAAGUAGGAGGGCAAACCUGUUGUGCUAAGCCGCGACUGAGCUAAAUUUAGCUGCUCCCACCGGCCACGGAAACACGAGAAACACACGUGACAACCGGCCCAGAUAAAUUUAGAUGGCGGUUCAGAGAAGCUAUAGUGACGGAGCGUCACCAGAUGUGUGAACAGCAGGCGUUUUACAGGAGACGUGUGUCCAGGAAGCUGUCCGAGGAGCCUGUCCACCUUGACAUUGUUUGAAGGGAUCAUAAAGCACACCCACUUCCAAAUAACCUCUGAUGAGACGGGAAAACAAGUCUGAUACAGCGAAGAGGCGGCACAGCACGAUACUGCUGGAUCAAAGAUCUGUGCUGACAGAGCUGACACCUGAAGGCUCGGUGCCACCCGGAGGUGCUGGAGAACACGGCGCAAGAUGGACCGGUGUCACUGGGGCAGAGGCUUGCGGUGGACCAGAGGAUCCCUUCGGUCAUUAAUCAUCGGACUGGACAGCCACAGACAAGCUUCUCUGGGCUGGACAGGUCUGUGCAACUGGAUCGCAACCUGUCCUUGACCUUAUCUGUGCUUCUUUCAGUUUCACUAUAGAGACUUCUUUCUUAUUUAAGAUUACCAAUUGUAAUUUUUUAAUAUUCAACACGUCUUUGUAGAUAAAUUAUAUUUUGCUUCAUUGAUUAAAUAACAUGAUCUCUGACCUAAGGCAGCCUUUCCAUUUCUCCUUUCGGUUUAUCAUCUCCUCCCUGCUAGUGAGGGAGGAUUGUUUCAUACUGGGGUGAUAACAUUACAUCACUAAAACGUACCACAGUGGUAAAUUAAACUAUUUAAUUUAAGCAAAAGAUGGCAAGCUUAUCAGUUUAAUUUGACUCUACUUUCAAACUUCUUGUGACUUUGUCUCAUGUUGGUUUCCUGAUGCUUUGGUUCAACGAAAGUCGGUAAGAAAAGAUGUCAAUUAAAAUUCCUGGGAAAAAAAGUA